RNAcentral lists this long non-coding RNA (1011 nucleotides) under Monodelphis domestica (gray short-tailed opossum). Its description in RNAcentral is "lncRNA (ENSMODG00000040100.1)". The record is from RNAcentral. Lineage: Eukaryota; Metazoa; Chordata; Mammalia; Didelphimorphia; Didelphidae.
AUGUUACAAUCACAUCUCACCACCACCUAUCUCCAGGUCCAGCUGGCCACAAGAAAUGAGGGGUCAAGACCCAGCCCCAAAACCCACAAGCUCAGGAAAGCUCCCCCUUGCCAGAAAGGAAAGCCCAAUGAGUCAAAAGAAUUCUCAGGACCUAACUCUUAUCCUGCUACCUCCAGGAAGCCCUCAAGGAUCAAUAUCUCUCUCCCUCCUUCCAUCCGGUCUCUCCCUCCCUCCAUCCUGUCUCUCCCUCUCUCUCUCUCUCCUUUCUCUCCCUUCCUUCCUCCUGUCUCUCCCUCCCUCCAUUCUCUCUCCUGUCUUUCUCUCCCUCUCUCUCCUGUCUCUCCCUCCCCAUCCUGUCUCUCCCUCCCUCUCUCUCCUGUCUUUCUCUCCCUCCUUCCAUCCUGUCUCUCCCUCCCUCUCCUGUCUCUCCCUCCCUCUCUCUCCUGUCUUUCUUUCCCUCCUUCCACCCUGUCUCUCCCUCUCUCUCCUGUCUCUCCCCAUCCUGUCUCUCCCUCCCUCUCUCUCCUGUCUUUCUCUCCCUCCCUCCAUCCUGUCUUUCCCUCUGUCUCUUUCUCUCUCUCUGUCUCUUUCUCUCUGUCUCUGUCUCUCUCUGUCUGUCUCUCUCUUUCUCUCUGUCUCUCUGUCUCUCUCUGUCUCUCUGUCUCUCUCUGUCUCUGUCUCUGUCUCUGUCUCUGUCUCUCUCUCUCUCUCUCUCUUGUCUUUCUCUCCCUCUCUCUCUCCUCCUCUCUUUGUCUCUCUUCCUCUCUGUGUGUCUCUCUCCCACCUCUCUCCCUCUCUUCCUCUCCCCCUCUCCUCUCCUCUUUCUCUCUAUCUCUGGUCUGUCUCUGUCUCUCCCUCUUUCUCUCUGUCUCUUCUCUCUCUUGCUCUCUCUCUGUCUGUCUCUCUCUUCUCUUCUCUUUCUCUCCCUCCCCACUUCUCCCUGCCCUCUCUCCUCUUAGUUCACAUAAGACUAGUCACUCUUUAGGAUCUAUGGCCUGGGCAGCCAGGUAG